RNAcentral lists this ribosomal RNA (452 nucleotides) under uncultured bacterium. RNAcentral's name for it is "partial 16S ribosomal RNA". It matches the Rfam family "Bacterial small subunit ribosomal RNA", at positions 355 to 799 of the family's 1533-position model. The record is from RNAcentral.
UAGGGAAUCUUCCACAAUGGACGCAAGUCUGAUGGAGCAACGCCGCGUGAGUGAAGAAGGUUUUCGGACCGUAAAGCUCUGUUGUUGGUGAAGAAGGAUAGAGGUAGUAACUGGCCUUUAUUUGACGGUAAUCAACCAGAAAGUCACGGCUAACUACGUACCAGCAGCCGCGGUAAUACGUAGGUGGCAAGCGUUGUCCGGAUUUAUUGGGCGUAAAGCGAGCGCAGGCGGAAGAAUAAGUCUGAUGUGAAAGCCCUCGGCUUAACCGAGGAAUUGCAUCGGAAACUGUUUUUCUUGAGUGCAGAAGAGGAGAGUAGAACUCCAUGUGUAGCGGUGGAAUGCGUAGAUAUAUGGAAGAAUACCAGUGGCGAAGGCGGCUCUCUGGUCUGCAACUGACGCUGAGGCUCGAAAGCAUGGGUAGCGAACAGGAUUAGAUACCCUGGUAGUCCAUG